Molecule: long non-coding RNA, 5631 nt
Organism: Mus musculus (house mouse)
Lineage: Eukaryota; Metazoa; Chordata; Mammalia; Rodentia; Muridae
Product: predicted gene, 35534
Exons: 3
Source: RefSeq, a predicted model, not a curated record
AGUUGUCUUGGUUGUGGUGUCUCUUCACAGGAACAGAACAGUGACUAAGAUGCUCUCCCUAUGUCAUCCUUCUGGAUGUCAUCUAUGUGCCCAGCCCCAGAGGCCAGCCCUGAAGAAAGUAGAUGGUACCUAGGGCUGGAGAGACGGUUCAGUGGUUAAGAAUGCUUACUGUUCUAGCCGGGGAUCUGAGUUUAGCUUCCAGCAGCCCUAUCUACCUGUAAAUUCACAUGCAUACAUGCAUACACAUAAUUUUUUAAAAUGUAAAUCUCUUAGAAGGUAGCUGGUGCUGAGCCAGCAGUGUGGAGCAGUGACCAAGGUCCCAUGCAGGUUUCUGCAGGUGGCAGAGCACAUAGAGAUCUUCCUUGAUUCACAUAUGGGGGUCCCAGAUCACACAAUAUGACUGUAUUUGAAGACAGGGCUUUACGGAUGUAUAGACAUGGGGCUGGAGAGAGAGAUCAGUGGUAAGAGUGCUUGCUUCUGUAAACAUGAGGCACUGAGUUCAGAUUUCAGGAUCACAUAAAAAACUGGGCAUGGCCUGAUACCUUGAUUCUUGACUGCCAGCUUGCAGAGUUAUGAGGAAUAAAUUUCUGUUGUUAAACCUCUCAGUCUGUGAUUUUUUUUUUUUUAUUGAACUUUGAGCUGACUGAUGCCUGUACCUCUAAGCCAGGGGGGUGACAGAAGGGUCCCCCGAAACAUCAGGUAGGCUUUGGCCACAAACACUUGAAUUCUAAACUGGAAAUCUUACCUACUUAGCAGGAGUCAGAAAAAAGACAGAGGAGCCCUCUCCUCCAGGCCAGUCCCUGACACGGUAUGGAGGACAGACCUGGAUGUCAGGAGAGAGGAGAGGACCUGUUUGACCCCAGCAGGGGUUCUGACCACUCCAUCCUGCAUGGACUACUGGUCCCAACCAGACUGUGAGCCUGUUGGAUUCGCUCCUUUCCUCUUCAAAGCAUUCAAGAUUGAUUGCCGAGCCUCGCCAUGAAUCAAGAGAGAGUCACUCCUCAUUAUCUACUUAGAAUUCCCCAGGUUCUUCCUACAAAACCAUCCCUCAGCUGUUUGAUCUCCCAGCCACCAGCACUAUCUCCAGGCACGCCACCCAUCACGGCAGCCACCAGACACUUUUUUCUCCUAGGCGCUUUUCUCGGGACCCAGAUGAAUUUCCACCUUUCUCUGGCUUUAAGACGAGCUGCCGAGAUAAAUGAUUCAAAGACUCUGGCUGUUGCUAGAAAUAUAUAGACUGUGAAAGCUGCUUCUGCAUAAGCCAGCAUAAGGGGGGCCAGCGCUGGCUAGCAUGCUGCUGCUGCUGCUCUGGCCAUAGCCACAUGCUCUCUGCAGUGUUUUCAUGUGUAGACUGAUGAGGCUUGUGCAGCCUGCGUGGCCAAGCCAGGCCAAGCCCCUGCUGCCUCCUGCAUAAUGCCACUGACAAUCUCAGGGCAUAUGCCAACUGACUGUGGUUAGCAGGAAGGAGGCAUCCUGUUUGCAUACUGUAUCCAAAAGGAAUCUUGUCUCCAGUCCUGCUGCUAGCACCUGCUUGCCUAGAAAGCAAGCCCUUGGCCCACCACAGGGCAUGCUCAGCUGCUCGUCCCAUCCCAUCCAGGGGUGAGGCUCUGCAGGCAGACUUCCCCCUCCUCCUUUCACAGUGCCAGUCAGGCUUUCUCCACCUAUGGGAAGCCAUACAACUUUCAGGUGAAUCUUUCUCCUCUGCCAUCAGUUGCCUAGGAAGGAACUGAGCCUGCUUCUCUUGCUUGGAUGAACUGGUAGAAAAUAACACUACACAAAUGAAGCUUAGCCGGGUUCAGUCACCCAGGCACCUGUCAUGCCAGGGGCAGGGCAAACAUGAAGGGCCUUCUACCAAGCAGUUCCAGGAACUCCAUACUGAGAGUGCCACACACUCCUGUUCCUAGAUAGGAUGGCCCAGAGAAGGCCCUGAGCAGCCACAGAGCUGCUGUUGAAGGCUGAGUGACAUGGGAACUGCUCUAACCCUGGUGCAGAUACAGAAGGCCAGGGCUUGCCCCUCAUAAAUUGGAAGGACUCAGUCAGAGUGCUAUUAGAGACCCUGUGUCUGUAUAAUGAGUGCUAAGAGGCACGUGUGAGUGUAAGUGUGUUUGAGUGUGUGAGAUAGUGUGUGUGAGAGUAGUGAGUGUAUAAGUGUAUAUGAGUGUGUGGGAGUGUGUAUAAGUAUGUGAGUGUUUAUAAGUGUAUGUGUUUGUAAGUCAGUGUGCAAAUGUGAGUGAAUAUGUAUAUGAGUUGUGUGAGUGUAUGAGUGAGGGGUGUGUGUGUGUGUGUGUGUGUGUGUGUAUGCAGGAUCAGGUAGGGAUGCAGAGUUGAGGUCAUGACUCUUUCUCACAGAACCAGGUUGUCAAAGACUGUAGAAUUCAUGUGAAGGCAGCUGGCUAGGUCUGCAAGCAGCAGGCAAUCGCUACAGGCCCUUUCCUAUACCCAAACCCCUAGCAGGCUCCUAAAGUUGCUAUAACCCAGGACACCUGACAAAUAUAUUCAUUAUCCUGCAGGCAGGACAGGAUCCUGAUAGUACAGUCCCCCGGCUGGAGGCCUCUGAACAAUACUGGGUACCAUCCACCACCAUCAACAGCUGGUUCCCUCGGGUGUCAGAGCCUCUUCACACUUUCCAGGGAGAGGGGAGUCUCGCACUCUGUGUGGCAGCUGCAGGCAAGCAGCUGUGUCUAAAAAGGGGGAGGUGGUCAGCAAGCUGACUGACUGCCCCAGACGUUCUUCAUCUACUUGCUCUAGGACAGCCAUGAGAGUCUGGAUCCCACCCUAUGGCGUGCUCUUGGACAGAUGCUGUAAGAACCCAGAGGGCUCACAAGAUUCCCCGUCUAUGCCCCUUGACUGAGUGAAGCCAAACACAGCCUGAGCUGUGGGCAGGACAGAGGCUAGCAUGGCCUGGGAGGCUCCACUGCCCCAGGAACUGGGGUCUCUCCAGGAGGAAUCCUCUCCCCACCCUGCCCAGUGUGCUACAAAAACCAAUUCCAGGUUUCAGGAGCAGAUGUGUCUACCGGCAGAUAUGGAAACGCCUUUCAAAGUUCCAGGGUUAAACCCAUCAUGACAUCCACAGAAUUCAGAGCUGGGAGGGGAAAAACUCCCAGCCCAGAAUAAUUGCUCCCAGAGGGAGCGUCGUUUUGCACUGGCAUGUACAAGGUCUGGAUGAGAAUUCUCUAAAAUCGGCAAGGAAGCUGGCGGCUAAUCAUAACUGUCUGCCUGUGCCAGGAGCCAAACUGACAUCACCACCCCUCUGGGACAAUCUUCCUUAGACCCCACACGGUCCCACAAUGGCUCCUGACACCAAGGAGGGAGAACCAAGCCACUCUGAGACAGGCUUGGGAUCUACCAGGGGACUCCUUUGGAAGUGUGUUAGGAAGAGUGGGGGCUCCUGGGGUGGGAGCAGGGCUUACUCAGAGGCCCAGAGGGCCCUGGCAGGAGCAGAGCCCACCAGGCAUUUAGGCACAAAACACAAAGCCUUUUAUUUUCCACCCAUAGCACUUCCCUUUUCUUUUUUAAAAAUGUGUGAACCUUUAGACUCCCCCUUCCCCACCCUCGUCUUGAUAGAGACAUUGGUAUGAGAAAUCUUUUUUACCUAGGAGAGAAUCAGCAUUCUAGGUGACAGAAAGUCAGCCUGGGGGAGAGGGGGAGGAAAGGGGAAAAAGGAGCUUGGGGAGGGCUAGGGGAAAGGUUUGGGGGGGGGUGUCAGAGGGAACAGUUCGGGGAGGCUAUGUCCUGUACCUGUCACCACUACUGAGUGCUGGGAUUAAAGGUGUUUGCCACCACAACCGGUUGCCACCACAAAUGACAUAAUUACAAUUUCAAAAAAAAUUAAAAAUUAUUAUAACAACAACAACAACAACAACAAAAAACCCAAAACACUGUAGGGACCAAACUGAGGAUGUCUACUAAGCAGAACCCAGAAGCUACCAGAAUAUAAACUCUGGCCUUCACCAUGAUAAAAAAUUUCCUCCUGGAGUUGUCGUGGUGGUAAAGAUCUAUUACUCCAGUUACUGAGGAGGCAGAGGCAGGAGGGUAGCACAUUCAAGGCCUGCCUGAGCUAAGGAAUAAGAUCAAGAAUGGUCUGGACAGCUUAGUGAGACCCUAGGAGGCAGAGGCCUGGGCUUACAGAGCCAGCUCUAGGACAGCCAGGGCUACAUAGAGAAACCUUGUCCUGGAAAACAAACAUAAACAUAAACAGAGGAGCAGGGGUGUGGUUUAGCAGGAGGAGCAGGGGUGUGGCUUAGCAGGAGGGUGCAAACACAGUGUGAGAGCCUCUAGAUAACCACACUUCCUCAGAGGUUGGCCUACAGUGGCCAAAGUCUACCAUUACAGCUGCCCUAAAGAAAAGUCAGGCAAAGCUAACCCCAGCUGGUGAAGAUGUCUGAGGAAAGGAGGUGCACAGGCAGCUCACACCCACUCCUUAGCUCUUUGGGAGUUCACCUCCCACAGUCUAUCUACAACUUAAAUAUCCACUCCCUUUCUUCUGUACCUGAGCACUUCCAGAAGGCAUCCUGGGCCCACCUGACAGCUCUCAGUCAGCUGAGCGGAUGGGGCCAGAGCCACAAUAUCUGUUGUGGUAAAAUAAGAAAUAUCUCCCCCAAAGCUCCAGUGUUGUGGGCUCUGCCCCCGGCAGGCCUUGCUGAGACUAAGACAUUAACGUCACUGGUGAGUUCGUAGCUCGGCUGUGAAGAGGAGGUAGGGGCUGGCUGGAGGAAGGAAGUCUAUGCAGAUAGCCUAGCUUGGUUUCCAGUAGACUCUGCUCCUGGCUUCCACAGGUGGCCAACAGUGCUCCUCCACAAACUUCCUCCAUCGCCUACAAGCAAGACCUGGUGGGUCGUGGACUGAAACCUCCCACACUUAAGCCCAGAUCAAUCGUUCCUCCUGUAGACGUCCUCAGGGUUUUAGUUGCAGUGAUAAAAACCUCAUACAUCCUCUGUGAGGAAUGGGAGGAAGUUUAGAGACAGCCUCUAACAUGUGAGAAAAAAAAAUUGUUUUUUUCUAUCAAUGAUGGCUAGGCUGCUGAGGACAAAUAUUCCCGUGGCCUCCUCCAUCCUGUAAGACUGCAGUGACCCCGAACACUCCUGAGACCUGCUUUGCUAUCAUUCCCUGCCCCUCGUGCCUGUUACUCAUCAGCCAGCUGUGUCAGACUCUGAGGUCCAGCUCCCAGCAGUGGGGUUGAGAGUCACAGCUGUGCUGGAGGAGAAGGACGUGAACGCCACACCUCCUGCUCUUGCUUCAGAGGUUAGGAUCCUAGUACACCUCUUUUGUGAAAGGAAAUUGCCUGACCGGGUUAUCUGACCUCUGUUCUCCUGUUUCCCUGUGACAGGAAGCUUUUCAGAAUGCAGAGCUAUGCCUCACUGACCUCUAGCUCCGCCACUCCAGGACCUAAGGACAUUGGAACACUGUAACCACUAAGUGUCUGGCAGGUGGACAGAUUUACCCUAGACUCUCCAAGUAACCGCUUUCUGAACAGUACCACGACAGAGCCUUGGGGAAAACAUCUCUCUCAAGAAUCUUGGGAGCAUCUGUCUAGGCACGAAGACUAAAAGUUCUCAGGAAAAGAGCAAGAGGGGCUGGUGAGAUGGCUCAGUGGGUAAGAGCACCUGACUGCUCUUCCGAAGGUCUGGAGUU